AUGAUCGCGGCUCCCACGUCCUUGGAAGGUCUUCGGUCCUUCACCAAAAAGUUAAUCAUGCUCUCCGACUUGAUGAGCAAAUUGCAGCCCAAAAAGAAGAUGCCAAACACCACAGUCAAGGAGAGGACGCAGAGGACGGCGAUCUGCACCACGCGUGUGAUGUACAGGCUACGCUCAUCGGGCACCAGCACCGAGGAGCUGCCAUCGGGUGCCAGCACCGAGCUGGUCCCAUUGCAGCAGGCCAGGAGGCUCUGGUUGAAGAAGGAUCCAUUCAUGGUCUACGUGGGGUCCCAACCGUCGGAGGAAGGCAGGAUGGAGCUGGCGGUCCCCCAGCUGGUCUCACAUCCCGCAGGCUCCGUGCCACCUCCUGCCUGUCUGCUCCUGAUGCCUGGGCUGGAAGGGAAGGAAAGGUGUGCAGAGAGGGGCGGCGGGCUGCCAGCUGCCACCAGCAACUCAGCACAGUCACCCGAGCACGGAGAGGGAAGGAGAAGGGAGCACGGGGCAGAGGAAGGCAGUAGGAGGCGGUUGCAUGCUCCCUGCCAUGCUGCCACCCCGAAGCAAUGGGGACUCCCAGCAGGAGCCGGGGGCUGAUGCCUGCCGGCUGGGAGCUCCACGGAUGCAAGUUCCCAGCUCAAGUCUUCCCCGUGUUCAAAGAAAAACCAGCAACUCCACCCCCUUGCAGCCUCCCCCCAGGACCGCCUUCCUCCCCCCUCCAAGCUCACCCAGGCUGCCCACCCCUUCCCCAUGCUGCUGCAUCCCCUCAUCCUGCUAUGGGGGCCCAAACCCACACCUGUGCUACCCCCUGGCUGUGUGCUAACCCCUGAGGUCCUGCCAUACUGCAUCCUCUCCCCCAGCCCUCCACCUGCUUCCCAGAGCAGCCCACCAUGUCGGUGUUGGGCCUGGGUCACCAGCAGCUCCCCUGUUCCCCCCCACACACCCUCCUGUGAGCUUCAGGUCUGUGCUGCUCUCACCGAUCCCUGCUUGCUGCUCUGUGCCACCCACUCCUUCCUUAGAGCAGCGCUGGCCCAAUCCAGCCCCGUCCACCCCCAGCUCUGCUCUGUUCUUCUGUCCUACACUGACAACUGGAUCAUCAUCCUCUGGCUGGGGGAUGUUUACACCCAGGCACCUCCAUUUCCCCUUCUCAUGCUCCUUUAUCCCCAUCAGAAGGAAGCACAGUGAUGCUGCACCCCGAUCUCUGCAUCCCACCCCCAUUCCCAGCUCAGGGUCCUACAGCAGCAGCAGCUGUGGUCCAUGCACCGUGAGUGGGUGCAGAUGUGUUCGGGUGGUGCAGGACAAGAGAUGGCCAUGACAUGGAGACUGUGCUCUGAUUGAUCUGUGUACGUCUCAGCUCGCUUUGCUUGCACAGCCCCCAGAGGGGAUUUUAAUAAACCCAAAUGAGAAUUGAUAAAUUGCA
Molecule: long non-coding RNA, 1414 nt
Filed under: Coturnix japonica (Japanese quail)
Lineage: Eukaryota; Metazoa; Chordata; Aves; Galliformes; Phasianidae
Description: lncRNA (ENSCJPG00005019142.1)
Source: RNAcentral